RNAcentral lists this ribosomal RNA (1138 nucleotides) under uncultured bacterium. RNAcentral describes it as "bacterial SSU rRNA". It matches the Rfam family "Bacterial small subunit ribosomal RNA", at positions 8 to 1149 of the family's 1533-position model. The record is from RNAcentral.
AGAGUUUGAUCCUGGCUCAGAUUGAACGCUGGCGGCAGGCCUAACACAUGCAAGUCGAGCGGUAACAGGGGUAGCUUGCUACCCGCUGACGAGCGGCGGACGGGUGAGUAAUGCAUAGGAAUCUGCCCGAUAGUGGGGGAUAACCUGGGGAAACCCAGGCUAAUACCGCAUACGUCCUACGGGAGAAAGGGGGCUUUGGCUCCCGCUAUUGGAUGAGCCUAUGUCGGAUUAGCUAGUUGGUAAGGUAAUGGCUUACCAAGGCAACGAUCCGUAGCUGGUCUGAGAGGAUGAUCAGCCACAUCGGGACUGAGACACGGCCCGAACUCCUACGGGAGGCAGCAGUGGGGAAUAUUGGACAAUGGGGGCAACCCUGAUCCAGCCAUGCCGCGUGUGUGAAGAAGGCCCUCGGGUUGUAAAGCACUUUCAGCGAGGAAGAACGCCUGUCGGUUAAUACCCGGUAGGAAAGACAUCACUCGCAGAAGAAGCACCGGCUAACUCCGUGCCAGCAGCCGCGGUAAUACGGAGGGUGCAAGCGUUAAUCGGAAUUACUGGGCGUAAAGCGCGCGUAGGUGGCUUGAUAAGCCGGUUGUGAAAGCCCCGGGCUCAACCUGGGAACGGCAUCCGGAACUGUCAAGCUAGAGUGCAGGAGAGGAAGGUAGAAUUCCCGGUGUAGCGGUGAAAUGCGUAGAGAUCGGGAGGAAUACCAGUGGCGAAGGCGGCCUUCUGGACUGACACUGACACUGAGGUGCGAAAGCGUGGGUAGCAAACAGGAUUAGAUACCCUGGGUAGUCCACGCCGUAAACGAUGUCGACCAGCCGUUGGGUGCCUAGCGCACUUUGUGGCGAAGUUAACGCGAUAAGUCGACCGCCUGGGGAGUACGGCCGCAAGGGUUAAAACUCAAAUGAAUUGACGGGGGCCCGCACAAGCGGUGGAGCAUGUGGUUUAAUUCGAUGCAACGCGAAGAACCUUACCUACUCUUGACAUCCUGCGAAUUUGGUAGAGAUACCUUAGUGCCUUCGGGAACGCAGAAGACAGGUGCUGCAUGCUGUCGUCAGCUCGUGUUGUGAAUGUGGUAGUCCCGUACGAGCGCCACCCUGUCUUUUUUGCCAGCGCGUAAUGGCGGGAACCUCUAAGGAAA